RNAcentral lists this microRNA (21 nucleotides) under Caenorhabditis briggsae. Its description in RNAcentral is "cbr-miR-41a". Its record names the gene cbr-miR-41a. The record is from miRBase by way of RNAcentral. Lineage: Eukaryota; Metazoa; Nematoda; Chromadorea; Rhabditida; Rhabditidae.
UCACCGGGUGAAAAACUCCCA